CUCUAGGCGGAGCAGAGCUUGAAAAUUGACGAAAAUCUUAUCUAACAGAGUGGAAGCACAAGCCAUAAGCGAUAGUCCCCGGCCCUCCCAGCUAGCCACUGCGAGAGCGGAGUGGUUUAAUGGUUCGUGGAUUCCGCCUCACCCAAGCGAAGACCUUGGGGUAAGGUAAGGGAAGCACCCUUAGCCGGAGUGUAUAUCUUUUCAUAAUGAUUAUUCUUUUCUUAUUGAAUUAAUUGGUGUUCAAUGGGAUCGAAUGAUAUAUUAGUUCAGUAUUAUUUUUCUCUGUUUCAAUUUUAAAAUAAUAGGGCAUGAUUUGAUUAUGCGGACCAUUAGCACAUGAGGUGCUACUCUGGUUUGACCCUACGAUAUGCAAUCGUUGAUCGGCCUUAGCACUUGAGUCUUGAGGAUGACAUUAAAAGCUGUCUUAUCUCCCAAACUAAAGAAGGUUUCAAUAAAUUGGUGAGUCUAAUUUAAGCAGUGUUUGUGAUGAGUCUUAAAACAAUGAGAUAUUAAUGAUGAUGUUAAUAUGCUUAGAUGCUUUGAUUCGUUGGGUAAAAUUGUUGUUCAUGGAUACUUUUAAAUUGAUGAUGGUGAUGAUUAUUCAUGAAAUUAAUUGAUGAAAAUGAAAUAGUGAAGUAUUGGUGUUGUGGAUAUUGUUAGUAAUAUAACUCUAAUAAAAUGAUAUUGUAUGUUGGUGUGUCAGUCAUGUACGAUUGAUAAUGUGUAUAUUUGGCAAUUGGCAUUCAUGCAUCAUUAUUGAGUCAAUGACAUGCAAAUUGGUGAUGAAUUGGUGAUAUGGAUAAAUCAGUAACAAACCUCUUAUAUGCAAAAUUGGUGAGGAAGUUGGUACCACCUGCAUUUAGAUCGAGUCUAGCUUAAGAUUUGAAAGAGGUUUUCCGAUCUCUAAUUUAAAAGAGAUUUCGAACGAUCCAGCUGUCACUUGAAAACACUUUAUUAACAAGCUGACAAAAACCGUUGCAAAUGUAUAAGUAUAACAACUGUGUUAUUAUUUUUCUUAAGUAGCAUUUUCUUGAGAGACAUGUCUAUUGAAAUUCAAAUUUAUAAAGAAAAUUUUCGGGUGUUUCAAAAAUUUUGUUACUAGUUGUUACUAGAAUCAUCUCUAGUAACAAGUUUUAUGAAACACGAAAAUUUUUUCUAUAUAAAUUUGAAUUUCAACAAGUUUGUUCCUCAAGAAAGUGUUACUUGAGAAAAAUAAUAAUACAGCUUUAUACAUUUACAACGGUCUUUACAAUUUGUUAAUAAAGUGGUUUCAAUCAGUGAAAGCUGGAUCGUUAGAAAUCUCUUUUAAAUUAGGGAUCAGAAAACCUUUUUCAAACCAUUCUACAAUUCCCUUUCUCUCUCUACCAUCGUCGAUCUUCAUUACUAACGAGUUUAUUUGUUUUCUUUAUUUUAUUUAUAUAGUAUAAUUUAUUAGGUCAAUUAUUUCAUUAAUUUUAAUAAGUAUUUUAGAAAGAUUAUGUUACUUGUAUAUUGUAGUGAAUUUAAGUAUUUUGCUGAGUGUUGAUUUACGAUUUUUGAAUUUAAAUUUUUUUAUUUAGGGUGGUUGAAAAUAUAGUAAUAUAGAUUAAUAAAUCUUGUAAACUGUCAUGUUUUGUUAAUUUAGUUUGGGUUACUUCAAAUUGGUAAGCAGGUAUGAGACAAAAUUUUUUUUCUUUAAUCUUUUCUCAAGAAUUGACAAAAGAUAAAACUUAGGGUCCGUUUGAUCUACAAAAUAUAAAUACUGGACAGAACAGUACAGGACAAACGUUUAAGGUAUUGAACAAACUUUGUGUUUUACGAUGUUUGGUGGACAAAAGGUUAUUUUGGUAUUUUAGACAACUUGUGCUGAGGACAAAAAGUUGUCUCGUGGUUCUGUGGGGGACAAGAAUUUCAGUUUUUGUCCUGUCCCUUGACCCUCAGUAUGUCCAGUACCAGGAACAGUUUUAAAAUCAAACACAGCACAACAGAAAUUGUCCUGUUCAGUCCCUUAUUUUUUAGCAGAUCAAACCCACCCUUAAAGUUAUUCAAUUACUUGUUUAAAUUUACUUCAUUCUAAAUUUACUUCGAGUUUUGGAUGAAUAUAUAGUUUUGUAAUAAAUAAUAAAGAAAAAUUAUUCCCCUUAUGAUGGUUGGAUAAGUGAUAAGUGCAAGCAUAGUAUAUUCCUAAUUGAAGUCCGUUUAAUGCGCAGGAUAAAAAACAUGAUAUGAUAACUGUAUUAUAUCCUGUCUUAAUUUAGUGUUUGAUGAACUAAUAAGAAAUGAUAAGUUAAUUGUGGAAUUUAUCUUAUCUCAUCUCUCUAAUUAAAAUUCUUAUCCUGAAUUUGAGUUGGGUUACUGACAUGAUAUGAUAAGAAAAUAAUUUACCCAAUAAUUUGAUAAAAUAUAUUUUAAAAUAAAAAAUGAAAAUUAAUAAAAUAUUAAUAAUAAAAUAAUUUGAUAGUAAAUUAAAAAUAAAAUAAUUAAUUUUCAAAUACACACACGAUUUUCACAAGGUUAAUUUUAUAAUAAUAAUUUACAUAAUUUUUAAAAUCAAUUUUUUUCUAUAAUUACAAGAUUUUAAAGUAAAAUAAUUAUUAAGAAUUGUAAAAUAGGGAUAUUAAUAAUUUAGAUUUUAUAACAAAUUAAAUAUAAUUCUCUUUCAAUGGUUGUUUUAUUAUUUACAUAUAAAAUAUAUGAUAUUUUUAUUUAUCUUAUAUAUCUAACAUAUAUAAUUAUGUUUUUUAUUUGAUCAUGUUCAUAUAAAAAUAAUUUGUUGUUUCGGCCGGGAGUGUUGCGGUUUCUAUUUUACAGGAUCUGAAGUUUCCUCCGAUUUUUGCAGAGCCUCCGAGUAUUUUUCCGGUUUGUCGGAAAGCACCUAGUUUUGAUUGGGUUAAAGUGAAUACGGAUGGCUCCUUGGUGAGCGCGACUACAGCUUGUGGUGCCAUUUAUAGAGACACUCUUGGGGCAUUUUUGGGUGGUUUUUUGUGUAAGCUCACCUGCCAUACUGUGUUACAUGCUGAACUUCUUGCUCCCAUGUUGCUGUUCGGGCCUCCAAGAACUCCUCUAUUGUUCCAUGGGACUUGCGGAAUCGAUGGAGAAACUGUUUUGUCAGGGAUAUGAUGUUGUUAUUUAUUUUCACACACUUAUCGUGAAGGGAAUGUAUGUGCCGACUUUCUAGCCAGCCUAGGACAUGCUUCUACAGGGCUCCAGUGGUGGAGUUCCUUGCCCCCUGCUUUACCAAUCGCAUUUUUCAGGGACAUAUGUGGUCUUUCGAAAUUUUUGCUUUUCUUAAUGUUUGUGUUUAGCUUUCCAACUUUGUUUUAGUUUUCUUUGUUUUCUUUCGGUUUUGGGUACGGUUUGGUCCCCCCAAUUUGUAAAUACUUUCGCCCCUUUUUUUAAUUUAUAGAGACGAGCACUU
Molecule: long non-coding RNA, 3397 nt
Filed under: Trifolium pratense (red clover)
Lineage: Eukaryota; Viridiplantae; Streptophyta; Magnoliopsida; Fabales; Fabaceae
Description: long non-coding RNA (TPRA_LNC003781)
Source: RNAcentral